This 489-nucleotide ribosomal RNA is filed under the name uncultured bacterium. RNAcentral describes it as "bacterial SSU rRNA". It matches the Rfam family "Bacterial small subunit ribosomal RNA", at positions 501 to 991 of the family's 1533-position model. The record is from RNAcentral.
CUACGUGCCAGCAGCCGCGGUAAUACGUAUGUCGCGAGCGUUAUCCGGAAUUAUUGGGCAUAAAGGGCAUCUAGGCGGCCUGACAAGUCAGGGGUGAAAACCUGCGGCUCAACCGCAGGCCUGCCUUUGAAACUGUAAGGCUGGAGUACCGGAGAGGUGGACGGAACUGCACGAGUAGAGGUGAAAUUCGUAGAUAUGUGCAGGAAUGCCGAUGAUGAAGAUAGUUCACUGGACGGUAACUGACGCUGAAGUGCGAAAGCCGGGGGAGCAAACAGGAUUAGAUACCCUGGUAGUCCCGGCUGUAAACGAUGAUUACUGGGUGUGGGCAGGAAGACUGUCUGUGCCGAAGCAAAUGCGAUAAGUAAUCCGCCUGGGGAGUACGGCCGCAAGGCUGAAACUCAAAGGAAUUGACGGGGACCCGCACAAGCGGUGGAGCAUGUGGUUUAAUUCGACGCAACGCGAGGAACCUUACCAGAUCUUGACAUCCCG